This 332-nucleotide ribosomal RNA is filed under the name uncultured bacterium. RNAcentral describes it as "bacterial SSU rRNA". It matches the Rfam family "Bacterial small subunit ribosomal RNA", at positions 568 to 898 of the family's 1533-position model. The record is from RNAcentral.
CGCGUAGGUGGUUCAUCAAGUCAGAUGUUAAAUUUCCCGGCUUAACUGGGAAUGGUCAUCUGAUACUGCUGGACUUGAGGGUGGUAGAGGGAGGUGGAAUUCCCGGUGUAGUGGUGAAAUGCGUAGAUAUCGGGAGGAACACCAGUGGCGAAAGCGGCCUCCUAGGCCAUUCCUGACACUGAGGCGCGAAAGCGUGGGGAGCGAACAGGAUCAGAUACCCUGGUAGUCCACGCCCUAAACUGUGGAAACUAGGUACAGGGAGUAUCGACCCUUCCUGCGCCGUAGCUAACGCGUUAAGUUUCCCGCCUGGGGACUACGGUCGCAAGACUAAA